Molecule: ribosomal RNA, 252 nt
Filed under: uncultured bacterium
Lineage: Bacteria
Description: partial 16S ribosomal RNA
Rfam family: Bacterial small subunit ribosomal RNA
Source: RNAcentral
UACAGAGGUCCCAAGCGUUGUUCGGAUUUACUGGGCGUAAAGGGGGCAUAGGUGGCGGGGUAAGUCUGGUGUGAAAGCUCCGAGCUCAACUCGGAAAAGCAUUGGAAACUAUCCCGCUUGAGGGUCGGAGGGGAGACUGGAAUUCUCGGUGUAGCAGUGAAAUGCGUAGAUAUCGAGAGGAACACCAGUGGCGAAGGCGAGUCUCUGGACGACUCCUGACACUGAGGCACGAAAGCUAGGGGAGCAAACAGG